This 106-nucleotide ribosomal RNA is filed under the name Erinaceus europaeus (western European hedgehog). The record is from RNAcentral. Lineage: Eukaryota; Metazoa; Chordata; Mammalia; Eulipotyphla; Erinaceidae.
CCCAUACCACCCUGAACACACCCGAUCUUGUCAGCUAAGCAGGGUCGGGCCUGGUUCGUACUUGGAUGGGAAAAGACAAACCCCGAAAAACUAAUUCUGGUUGGGU